Molecule: ribosomal RNA, 253 nt
Filed under: uncultured bacterium
Lineage: Bacteria
Description: partial 16S ribosomal RNA
Rfam family: Bacterial small subunit ribosomal RNA
Source: RNAcentral
UACGUAGGGGGCAAGCGUUGUCCGGAUUUAUUGGGCGUAAAGAGCGUGUAGGCGGCCAGAUAGGUCCGUUGUGAAAACUCGAGGCUCAACCUCGAGACGCCGAUGGAAACCAUUUGGCUAGAGUCCGGAAGAGGAGAGUGGAAUUCCUGGUGUAGCGGUGAAAUGCGCAGAUAUCAGGAAGAAUACCAGCGGCGAAGGCGGCGCUCUGGGCCGAUACUGACGCUGAGGAGCGAAAGCGUGGGGAGCAAACAGG